AGGGGAGGAGGUUUGCCCAAGUCUUGUAUUUAGCACAAAUUCUUUAUUGCAAAUCAACGUGGGACAACACACCUCCUUAAUGUCUAAGCAUAAACAUCUGGAGUAUGAAAUAUGCAGGCAAACACAUCUGCGAGUGAUCUAACAUUGAAGCAGGAUAGGCUUUGAUACCAUGUUAAGUUUUAGAAAGAGACAAUAAGAAGAAAAAGAUGAAGAAAGGAAGAAAAGAACAUAAAGGCUAUUAUGACUACAUUUUUUCAUUUACUUCACACAUUUUACAUAACACAUAAGCUUUUAUAAUUGAAUAUAGAAGAUAUAAAUCCAUAUAUUAUUCCUAAAAUCCCUUGAAUUACGGAGAUAAAUCAUUCCCUAACUUAUCUUAAAAUCCCUUA
This 389-nucleotide unclassified non-coding RNA is filed under the name Hevea brasiliensis (rubber tree). The record is from RNAcentral. Lineage: Eukaryota; Viridiplantae; Streptophyta; Magnoliopsida; Malpighiales; Euphorbiaceae.